RNAcentral lists this unclassified non-coding RNA (315 nucleotides) under Hevea brasiliensis (rubber tree). The record is from RNAcentral. Lineage: Eukaryota; Viridiplantae; Streptophyta; Magnoliopsida; Malpighiales; Euphorbiaceae.
AGGUUAUAACCAAAUAAUGCACACCUAUAACUAUGAAGAAGAUUGCAUAGUGGACUAUAAGAAAAGAAAGCUCUUCUUAUUACCUACAAAAAUAGUUGAGCAAAAAUGAGCAUUCGACUCAUAGAGUGAUAUUGAACAAGCAGAUAGCAUUUAUAUCUAAUCUAUAAUCUAGUGCAAUCCUAAUAUUGGAAGGCAUUAUACAUCCACAUCAUAGUAAAGAUUCAAACAUUUUACGUAAGGGUAAUCCCUGAAACUCACGCGUGCACCCAUGAUACAAUAGAUAUGCAUAUAAGAGUAAACCUCUAUAUGAUUUUU